GGGAGAAAGGGCUCGGAGGGUAAAAACGUAGUGGAACGAUGCAGGAAUAUGAAGGUAAUGGAGAAGAUAUAGAGAAUAAUGGUUCUUCUCCUUACAGUGACUCCAAGUCUCAGCAUACUUCUCGUGACCCCGAGAAAGAAAGGGGCUCAUCAAGAAGCAGGGAGAAGGAGAGGGAGAAAGGGCGUGAUAAAGACCGGGACAGGGACAGGAAUAGAGAUAGAGAUAGAGACAGGGACAGAGGUAAGGAAAGGGACAAAGAUAGGGAUAGGGACAGAGAGAGGGAGAAGGACCGUGAUCGUCAUCACAGAGAUCGUCAUAGGGAUCGGAGUGAUAGGAGGGAGAGGAUCAGAGAUCGAGAUGAAGAUGAUCUUCAGCGAACUCGAGAUUACGAUAGGCGAAGAGACAAUGACAAAGAUAGAGAGGACCGACAGAGACACAAGCCUAGCUCUAGGGGUAGAUCCGAGCAUAGAUCAAGGUCUAGAUCACGGUCACCAUCUAAGAGCAAAAGGAUCAGUGGU
This 518-nucleotide unclassified non-coding RNA is filed under the name Hevea brasiliensis (rubber tree). The record is from RNAcentral. Lineage: Eukaryota; Viridiplantae; Streptophyta; Magnoliopsida; Malpighiales; Euphorbiaceae.